Non-coding RNA from Notechis scutatus (mainland tiger snake), 371 nucleotides. Lineage: Eukaryota; Metazoa; Chordata; Lepidosauria; Squamata; Elapidae. The record is from RefSeq and is a predicted model, not a curated record.
AAUAAAUACUUCAUAGUUGCAACAGUUACCUCGAGGACACACAAAGACUUAGACAUACACACACACACACUCACACACAAACAAGAACAAAGAGAGGAAUACAAAACUCUGAGGUUUACACACACACUGAUCAUUCCCACAAUAAAUCUCUUAGUUAAAUUGGGAAAGGCACAAAUCUUAAGAAACAAACCAUGUGGCUGCAUAGGAGACAAAGAAAGAGACACAGAAACAAACAAACAAACAAACAAACAAAAAAUCCCAUGUAAUCCUGUUUAUAUAUUGCCCUUUUCUUUCAUUUUUCUUUUCUUUUUUAAGUACCUUUAUUUAGCCACAUUGGUCUUCCUGUAUCCCUCAGCAAAGCUCAUUCUCUA